RNAcentral lists this ribosomal RNA (433 nucleotides) under uncultured bacterium. Its description in RNAcentral is "bacterial SSU rRNA". It matches the Rfam family "Bacterial small subunit ribosomal RNA", at positions 355 to 796 of the family's 1533-position model. The record is from RNAcentral.
UCGAGGAUCUUCGGCAAUGGGCGCAAGCCUGACCGAGCGACGCCGCGUGCGCGAUGAAGGCCUUCGGGUUGUAAAGCGCUGUCGAGGGGGAGGAAAGCCGCAAGGCCUGACCUAUCCCUGGAGGAAGCACGGGCUAAGUUCGUGCCAGCAGCCGCGGUAAGACGAACCGUGCGAACGUUGUUCGGAAUCACUGGGCUUAAAGGGCGCGUAGGCGGCGCGUCGAGUCGGGGGUGAAAGCGUUCGGCUUAACCGGACAAGGGCCCCCGAUACCGACACGCUCGAGCGAGGCAGGGGCAGACGGAACUUCCGGUGGAGCGGUGAAAUGCGUUGAUAUCGGAAGGAACGCCGGUGGCGAAAGCGGUCUGCUGGGCCUCUUCUGACGCUGAGGCGCGAAAGCCAGGGGAGCGAACGGGAUUAGAUACCCCCGUAGUCC